AGAAGUCUUUGACAUGGUGUGACUUGUUUUUCAGGCAGUCCCACUGGCAGACCAUCUUUAUGCAGUGGGCAACAUCAACCCUGAUGCAACAGGGAGGAGGUUUUGCAGACUGGUUUCCAAGUAGCACACAGAAGCAUUCAUCAAUGUAUGACUUCAGGUUAGAAAGAGGAGUGAAGGCCUUCACCAGAGCACCAAGAAUAGCCAGGGAAAAGUCACUCACAGCUUCCCUUGAACACCUUGAUAUAAGAAGAUGUGGCCAGAUGUACCAUUUGGUCGUGCCAGUUUUCUGACAACUGAACCAGUUGCAUCAAAGCAAACUACUGAGGGACAUUUUUUGGUUGCCAGGUUUGGAAGGUGACUUACCUCGGGAUCUCCAAUAUCCAUCAACUCUGAUGCCUUUGCUGACCUCCAUACAGCUGCUUCCAUCCUACCUUCACACAACUCUUUGGAAACCUGUGCACGAAGGGUUCCUGACAUGAAUCUUUUGGACUGGCCAGUGUGCAGGGAGAUGUCAGCACCUUCGAUAGAACACUGGAGCACCAUUGGGCUGUUGACCGUUGGCUCUCUGUCACAUGCCAUUUUAACAUGGCCUUGACACUCUUUACAGAAGCCUUUGAUAUCAAUGUACUUACUAGUGACAGUUGGAUAAACUUUUGCUCUGUGGAAUACAAAUGUACAUGUGCUUUUCAACUUUUUCCAAACCAGAUCAUUAAUUAUAUGACUCCAAGUGCCAGGUUUUAAAAUAGUGUAGUCCCUUUUGCCAGAUGAUGAAAGUUGGAUGAACUUUGUUGAACCAAUGACGCUGCCAUGCACUUCCAGUUUUACUCUGCAAAAACUUUAUUUGCUCAAGCAACUAGCAUGUUAGCUAUGGAUUUUUUUUGUCAUUUUUUUUACCCUUUUGCUGCAUAAUCAGCAGAAAGUAAGUCAACAAUGUGAAUAUAAUUGUUCAAACCACCUCCGAAACCAAAGCACAGUUUAACAGUCAUACAAAUUAUACACAUUACGUUACGGUCACGGCCGCAUGUCCUGUAUUGACAGAAUUCAAUUAUU
Xiphophorus hellerii (green swordtail) is the source of this 1050-nucleotide long non-coding RNA. RefSeq lists it as uncharacterized. The record is from RefSeq and is a predicted model, not a curated record. The transcript has 3 exons. Lineage: Eukaryota; Metazoa; Chordata; Actinopteri; Cyprinodontiformes; Poeciliidae.